GCUAAGCAAUGGAAAAGACCACCCACAGGGAAGGUUGCUACUGCAAGACUGAUGGAAAGGUCUCAUGCAGAGGCAUAGGUUGCAGAGGCAAAGUAGAUGACAGUGGCCACUCUAAUGUCUUUGCCACUGAUCAAAAGCUAUGGGAUUCUGGAGAUGGGCAAAAUGCUUUUAUGUUUCUUCAUUGUGGUUGUGGCUGCCUUCUCUGCAGGAGUAGCCAGUGAGCAGGCUUCAUUUCCACAGCCUCCAAGGAGAGUGGAGGGCUUGGACAAGCAGGAGAUCAGAGUAAAGUCCCAGAAAUCAGUAAGCAUUGGGAAGGAAGGGGACAGUCAGCGUGGAAUGAAUGCCACUGCCCUCAGGAGAGGCUGUUCAGGACCGGUGGAGUGCUGAGUCAAGGCUACUGGACUGGGGAAUGACCUGGUCACCCCGGGCCCCAGGAGGGCAGUGAGGAUGGAAGGGCAACUGCAGAUGGGCUGGCAGAAGAAGCAGGGGUGCAGGGAGUGCCUCUCCUGGGGUGCAGAAGCUGGAGUGCAAAGACUGGUGUGAGCCAGUCUGCUGGGCCCACUGCUGCUCCUCAGUGAUGUUCACCUUUGUGAUGUAGAGGAAAGGGUAGGACUGCAUCUGGGAUCAGCCCAGCUGGGCUGGAAUCUCAGCUCUGCUCUACUUAGUGCCUGGGUGACCUUGGGCCAGUCCCUUACUCUCUCCAAGUUGCUUGGUUUUCUCACCAGAAACACUAAGUGAUGUCUUGGGUCCAGCUCUAGAUCUGACCUGUGCUCCAUGGUCAGUCCCCUCAGCCUUCUGGGAGCUGAUAUUGUCAGCUGGCAAAAGCACACUCAUUCUCAGCCCUAACUUUGAGGGGCUUGGGCACAGCCACCCUCACGUCCAGUGAGACCAGCCCAGGCAGGAAAGAAAAACUGAACCCCAAACCUGGGCCUUUGAUUCAUGAUAAAGCCUGUGCCCCAGAUGAUGGAAGGAACAGAGCCCUGAGAGGAGAGGAGAGCCCCUGGAUGUGGUCAGGCAGGGGCACUGGAGGCUCAAUAGCCUUUCUACCAGCCUGAGCUCUUUAGGAGUAGGACAUGGGCUGAGGGGUCUUCCAGCCAAGGCUGGAGGAGCACUUUGGCAGGCCUAGUUUGGUCUAGACAGUAACAGCAUUUAUGUGGCACUUAUGCCAGGGACCAUGCCAAUGCUCAUUAGGUCCAGGAGGGAGGAGGUGUCCUGGGGAAUAGAUGGGGAAACUGAGGCAGACAGCAAGGAAGUGACUUGUCCAGCUAGGGAGUGUCUGAGGCUGGAGGUCUUCCAGAAUGGCUUGUUGCCUCUGAGCCUGAGCAAAGAGGAGUCAGGGAGCUGGGAGCCCCUGCCCCCCUCUUCCCUGGGUCACAUCCCUGUGGAAAGCCACAGUUCAGGGCACUGAAAAUCAAACGAUCCUGAUGAAGAGCUUCACCAGCUUGAGAGAGAAUGUUGUUUUGAAUCCCGGUGGGUUUCUGGACCCUUCUACUUGAGUUUAUGGAGACAGAUGGCCCCCUCACUCCUGCCACCUAGAUGGAGAGGAAAUGACUGAGCCCAGCAAACUGGUCACCCCUGUGGGGGGCAGUGAGAUCACAAAGCCUGAAGGAUGUCACUAUGCAGAGGGGGUUCUGAGGUUGUCAUGACUGAGGGGCCCUACAUCAGACAACAUUCCUUCCCUGGGAGGCUAAUGGGAAUGGUGGUCUUAAAACCUCCUGCAGUGAGGGAGAUGAAAGAACAGCAGCCACACUCUCCUCCUAUGAACUCUGUGGCAGUUUUGAGACCUUUUCGACUGUCCCCUGGACAGAUUCCAGUGAGAAGACUGGAUGGUAGACCCGGACCCCAACCACUGCCUGGAACCCACCCAAGUAUGCCUCCAUCUCAACAAGAAGGGCAUGCUGGAAGCUCUGGCUGGAGUCAGUGAUGGAAGAUUCCCAGGGAGAAGAACAUCAAGAGAAGCUGCCUCUGUCCACUGCCUGUCUCAAUGAUAUGACUCUGGAGGACCAAUGGUCAGGAAUGGAAAUAGAAGACCUAGCACUCUUCCCUGGAACCCAAGAUCCCAAAAUAUCCCAGAUGACCCUGUACAGGAAGAUAGAAGAGCAGAAUAUGCUCCAUCUACCCAAAUUCCCCCAGGGUCACUGUAUCCAGGGUCUAGGAAGGACUAAAUGGCAAGAUACUCCCUUCCCUUCCUUCCCCUUCCUUCCCCUCCCCUUCCCUUCCCUCCACUACCCUCCCUCCCCUCCCCUUCCCUCCCAUUCCUUCCCUUCCCUUCCCUUCCUUCCCCUCCCCUUCCCUUCCCUCCACUACCCUCCCCUCCCCUCCACUUCCCUUCCUUUCCCUUCCCUUCCCUUCCCUUCCCUUCCCUUCCCUUCCCUUCCCUUCCCUUCCCUUCCCUUCCCUUCUCUUCCCUUCCCUUCCCUCCCCUCCCCUCCCCUCGCUAUCCCCCCUCUCUAUCCCUCCCCUCCCCUCCUCUCCACUUUCCUCCCCUCCCUUUACUCCUGACCUUCUCUUUUCUUCCCUUCACUUUCCUCUCCACCUCUUCCCUGAUCUUCCCUUCACUUUCCUGAACUUCACUUCCUUGCCCUGCAUCCCCUUCACUAUCCUUACCUAACUUUCUCUCCCCUCCCUUCCCUUCCCUUCCCUUCCCUCCCCUUUCCUCCUCUCUCCUUCCCUCCCCUCCCCUCCUUUCCCCUCACCAUCAACUUUCCCUUCCCUUCUCUCACCUAUCCCUCAUCUUUCUUUCCCUCCCCUCCUCGCCUUCCCUUUCCUCCCCUCCCCUCCACUUCCCUUCUCUCCCCUCCACUUCCACUUUCCUCCCCUCCUUUUCUCUCCCCUUCCCCUCCUUUCCCUUCCCUCCCCUUCUCUCCCCUCCCCUUCCCUCCCCUCCAUUUUCCUCCCCUCCACUUUCCUUCACUCCUCUUCUCUCCUCUUCCCUCCCCUCCCCUUUCCUUCCCUCCCUUCACUACCCCUUCAUCCCCUCCACUUAGCUCCCCUCCUCUUCUCUCUCCUUCCCCUCCCUUCCCUUCCCUCCCCUUCUCCCCUCUCCCCUCCCUUCCUUUCCCUCCCUUAUCUCCCCUCCCUUCCCCUUCCCUGCCUCCUGAAGCUUUCCUGGAGAUUUCAGAAGAUCAGAAGGUGCAAAGUCAUCCUCUCCCCAGAUGUUGCUCAUGGAGGACGUUCUUUGAAGUUUUAAUGUUAUCUUACAUUCUUUGCUCUAAGAGUAAAACAGCUCACCCGACCCCAAAAGAAAAAUAAAGAUCUUCUAUGGUGA
Non-coding RNA from Monodelphis domestica (gray short-tailed opossum), 3268 nucleotides. NCBI's taxonomy places the organism in Eukaryota, Metazoa, Chordata, Mammalia, Didelphimorphia, Didelphidae. The record is from RefSeq and is a predicted model, not a curated record.